This 276-nucleotide ribosomal RNA is filed under the name uncultured prokaryote. RNAcentral's name for it is "partial 16S ribosomal RNA". It matches the Rfam family "Bacterial small subunit ribosomal RNA", at positions 524 to 800 of the family's 1533-position model. The record is from RNAcentral.
UACGUAGGGGGCUAGCGUUAUCCGGAAUUACUGGGCGUAAAGGGUGCGUAGGUGGUUUCUUAAGUCAGAGGUGAAAGGCUACGGCUCAACCGUAGUAAGCCUUUGAAACUGGGAAACUUGAGUGCAGGAGAGGAGAGUGGAAUUCCUAGUGUAGCGGUGAAAUGCGUAGAUAUUAGGAGGAACACCAGUUGCGAAGGCAGCUUACUAAUCCAUCAUUGACGCUGAGGCACGAAAGCGUGGGGAUCAAACAGGAUUAGAUACCCUGGUAGUCCCUGA